This 30-nucleotide transfer RNA is filed under the name Rotala ramosior. RNAcentral describes it as "partial tRNA-Phe". The record is from RNAcentral. Lineage: Eukaryota; Viridiplantae; Streptophyta; Magnoliopsida; Myrtales; Lythraceae.
AGAGGACUGAAAAUCCUCGUGUCACCAGUU